GAUGAACGCUAGCGGCGUGCUUAACACAUGCAAGUCGAACGGAAAGGCCCUGCUUUUGUAGGGUGCUCGAGUGGCGAACGGGUGAGUAACGUGUGAGUAACCUGCAUUUGACUUUGGGCUAACUUAAGGAAACUGGAGCUCAUACCAGAUAGGCGAUCCUGAUGAAUGGUGGGGGAUGACAAGUUUCGGCAGUUGGGGAUGGACUCGCGGCUUAUCAGCUUGUUGGUGGGGUAGUGGCUAACCAAGGCUUCUACGGGUGGCCGGCCUGAGAGGGUGACCGGGCACAUGGCGACUGAGAUACGGCCCGCACUCCUACGGGAGGCAGCAGUGUGGAUGAUUGCAUGAUGCGCGGAAGCCGCAUGCAGCAAUGCCGCGUGCUGGAUGACGGCCUUCGUGUUUAAUACCGUUUUCGCCUGUGACUAAGAGUGAGUGACGGUAAUGUGUAAAUAAGCACCGGCUAACUACGUG
This 468-nucleotide ribosomal RNA is filed under the name uncultured bacterium. RNAcentral's name for it is "partial 16S ribosomal RNA". It matches the Rfam family "Bacterial small subunit ribosomal RNA", at positions 28 to 507 of the family's 1533-position model. The record is from RNAcentral.